This 746-nucleotide ribosomal RNA is filed under the name uncultured Parvimonas sp. RNAcentral describes it as "bacterial SSU rRNA". It matches the Rfam family "Bacterial small subunit ribosomal RNA", at positions 28 to 776 of the family's 1533-position model. Lineage: Bacteria; Bacillati; Bacillota; Tissierellia; Tissierellales; Peptoniphilaceae. The record is from RNAcentral.
GACGAACGCUGGCGGCGUGCUUAACACAUGCAAGUCGAACGGGAUUUAGUAGACAGAAGCUUCGGUGGAAGAUUACUAAUGAGAGUGGCGAACGGGUGAGUAACGCGUGAGCAACCUGCCUAUGACAGUGGGAUAGCCUCGGGAAACCGGGAUUAAUACCGCAUGAGACCACAGAAUCGCAUGAUAUAGGGGUCAAAGAUUUAUCGGUGUAAGAAGGGCUCGCGUCUGAUUAGCUAGUUGGAAGGGUAAAGGCCUACCAAGGCGACGAUCAGUAGCCGGUCUGAGAGGAUGAACGGCCACAUUGGAACUGAGACACGGUCCAAACUCCUACGGGAGGCAGCAGUGGGGAAUAUUGCACAAUGGGGGGAACCCUGAUGCAGCGACGCCGCGUGAGCGAAGAAGGUUUUCGAAUCGUAAAGCUCUGUCCUAUGAGAAGAUAAUGACGGUAUCAUAGGAGGAAGCCCCGGCUAAAUACGUGCCAGCAGCCGCGGUAAUACGUAUGGGGCGAGCGUUGUCCGGAAUUAUUGGGCGUAAAGGGUACGUAGGCGGUUUUUUAAGUCAGGUGUGAAAGCGUGAGGCUUAACCUCAUUAAGCACUUGAAACUGGAAGACUUGAGUGAAGGAGAGGAAAGUGGAAUUCCUAGUGUAGCGGUGAAAUGCGUAGAUAUUAGGAGGAAUACCGGUGGCGAAAGCGACUUUCUGGACUUUUACUGACGCUCAGGUACGAAAGCGUGGGGAGCAGACACG